UUCAAGUCCUUUGAGGAGCGGAUAAAGGAGAUGUUUGAGAACCUGAUGCAGGUGGAGCAUCCGAACAUUGUGAAGUUUCACAAGUACUGGUUGGACAUGAGCGAGAGCAGAGCGAGGGUGAUUUUUAUCACUGAAUAUAUGUCAUCUGGAAGUCUCAAGCAGUUUUUGAAGAAGACCAAGAAAAACCACAAAACUAUGAAUGUGAAGGCAUGGAAGCGUUGGUGCACGCAGAUACUCUCUGCACUCAGGUAGGACAUUGAGGAUUUAGCAUCAUCUCCUGAACUCAUCUGCACAUU
Sinocyclocheilus anshuiensis is the source of this 296-nucleotide long non-coding RNA. RefSeq lists it as uncharacterized. The record is from RefSeq and is a predicted model, not a curated record. The transcript is spliced from 4 exons. Lineage: Eukaryota; Metazoa; Chordata; Actinopteri; Cypriniformes; Cyprinidae.